RNAcentral lists this ribosomal RNA (494 nucleotides) under uncultured bacterium. RNAcentral's name for it is "partial 16S ribosomal RNA". It matches the Rfam family "Bacterial small subunit ribosomal RNA", at positions 28 to 507 of the family's 1533-position model. The record is from RNAcentral.
GAUGAACGCUGGCGGCGUGCCUAAUACAUGCAAGUAGAACGCUGAAGGAGGAGCUUGCUCUUCUGGAUGAGUUGCGAACGGGUGAGUAACGCGUAGGUAACCUGCCUGGUAGCGGGGGAUAACUAUUGGAAACGAUAGCUAAUACCGCAUGACAACAGUUAUUGCAUGAUAACUGUUUAAAAGGGGCAACUGCUCCACUACCAGAUGGACCUGCGUUGUAUUAGCUAGUUGGUGAGGUAACGGCUCACCAAGGCGACGAUACAUAGCCGACCUGAGAGGGUGAUCGGCCACACUGGGACUGAGACACGGCCCAGACUCCUACGGGAGGCAGCAGUAGGGAAUCUUCGGCAAUGGACGGAAGUCUGACCGAGCAACGCCGCGUGAGUGAAGAAGGUUUUCGGAUCGUAAAGCUCUGUUGUAGAGAAGAACGAGUGUGAGAGUGGAAAGUUCACACUGUGACGGUAUCUUACCAGAAAGGGACGGCUAACUACGUG